UGCCACAAUUUUGUUUGAUAAACAUGUUGCAAAUCAUUUUUUCUAUCCUGUUUCAUAUGUUUCCUUUCUUUUUGCGUUUAAUUGAGACAGUUUUCAUAAUUAGAUGUUAUAUCAUGCUAAAAUAGCUAUUGAUUAUAUGCGAUUUGUGAACCGGGCAUAAAGAAUUCUAUUUUUUUCAAUUUGUUUACAGAGUGUGAGCAAGACCUUGAUUUCCUUCAGUCUGAUGUUGACAUGGCUUCAAAGAAAGUUGAUAUUUUGUACGAUCACAAUGUGUUAGAUGGUAUCGAAAUCGGACCGAACAUGAAUGAAGUGGGACAUGAAUGAGAAGUGAUGCUUGUAGGAGAGCUGGAAGACGACAAUACAGUCGAUAACUUGGAGCAUCCAUCAUCCAAGGAGUUAUUAUUGGAUUGCUCAUUGGAUGAAGAGGUUGGUUAUCACUUUUCGAAAUUUUGGGCUGAGAUAGAUAUGGGGAAUCCAUAGUUUGAGGUCGGACAACUCUUUUGGUCAAUGCAAGAGUUUUGAAAUGUAGUGAGAACUUACGGAGCUUUGAAUGGGUAUGAUCUAAGAUUCAAAUGUAGCGAUAGAAUACGAGCUCAAGGAGUUUGCAAAUUAGGGUGUAAUUGGAGGAUAUAGACUUCGAAAUUGAAUGAGAAUGGUACAGUACAAGUGAAGUCUUAUGUGCCUGAUCACACAUGCACACGGGGCUAACACAAUAGACAUUAUAUCUUCUUGACCCAGAGAUAGAGUUGUUUAAGAUCCUGGCUAGAAAACAAAAUCUAUUUUGGUGACCGUGAAAGAAGACUAGAAGAUGGAGAUAAGUAGAAAUGUUGCAUGCAAGAUGAGGGACUAUGCGAAGGAAUUGUUGUUUGGAAACAUUACGAAACAAUUUCGGCUUCUGAGGUAGUUCGAAGUAAUUUGGGAUCAAUUGUGAUAAUAGCCCUCGACAAGCAAGUUUUCAAAGGCAUCUACAUAUACUUCAAUGACUGCAAGUUAGGGUUUACGAGUGGUUGCAUGAAAGUGGUUGCUAUUGACGAGUGCUAUUUGUGAGGGUGUUUUGGGGAAAUUAAGUUAACUGCAGUAGGGCAUGAUGCUAAUGAUUGUAUCAAUCCCAUGGCAUAUGUUGUUGUACAAAAGGAGAACACGCAAUCUUGGAAGUCGUUCAUGAAGUAUCUGGCAGAGGACAUUGAAAUAGGCUACGGUAACAGGUGGACAUUGAUGACAGACGGGCAAAAGGGACUUCAAAAUGUGUAUGAAGAGUUAUUCCCAAAGGCAAAACAUCGCUUUUGUGUACGAGAUGCAUACAAACAUUUUCAAUGUAGGAUUUAAGGGAAAAAUUCUAAAGGAUUUUAUUUGGCGUGCCACAAAGUCAACAGUGCCACAAAGUCAACGGUUGUCGCUAAUACAAAUGUGGAUGCAAAAAAUUCAUGAAGUGAUUGAAGAAUAUAUAAGUGGUUGACAAAGACACCUUCAUGAGUGGAGUCAAUCACGCUUUUCAGUGCGUUCGAAGUGUGAUAUUGUAUUAAACAACGGAUGUGAAGUUUUUAACAAAACAAUGCUAGAUGAUAGAGAAGUUGAUUCUAAAUAUGCUUAUGUCAAAUCCUAUACGUUUUUGUGAUGGUUUUUAGGUUUGGGAAAAUUAUUUUGAUUUACUAGAUGUGUCGAUGUUAAAUUUUAAUCUGACAAGUG
This 1686-nucleotide long non-coding RNA is filed under the name Olea europaea subsp. europaea. The record is from RNAcentral. Lineage: Eukaryota; Viridiplantae; Streptophyta; Magnoliopsida; Lamiales; Oleaceae.